AGCUCUGUUGGCGGCCAUGUUGUGGCGUCCCCAGCCUUUGCAUGCAUCUAUUUAGACGUAAAUUAGUUUAUGAUGUAGAAUUGUUAGUGUUUUAAUUAUCUUACACUUGUAAUUGAACGGGUGACUUCAGAUUGAGAGGUCAACGUCGGCUUUAUCCAUCGCCAAAGUGUUUUUGAUUCUAGAUCUUGUGGUUAACUGUAUGUUUCACAAUUUCACAUUACAACAUAACCUCUAAAUUCUAUCUGAUAAAGUUAUAAAUAAAUAACGAAAGUUCAGGACAGAUUAAAGGAGGUUUAUUCUCACACCGGCUGCUUAUUCCGAUAUUUCUUUGGUCUUUAUAUUGAAUAAUGAAGACAUUUCUAUAAGGUUUUAUAUUUGAUUCAAAUUUCGUACAAAU
Molecule: non-coding RNA, 397 nt
Organism: Onthophagus taurus
Lineage: Eukaryota; Metazoa; Arthropoda; Insecta; Coleoptera; Scarabaeidae
Source: RefSeq, a predicted model, not a curated record